This 363-nucleotide small RNA is filed under the name Histoplasma capsulatum. RNAcentral's name for it is "hypothetical RNA". The record is from RNAcentral. RNAcentral also lists the same sequence under 1 other name. Lineage: Eukaryota; Fungi; Ascomycota; Eurotiomycetes; Onygenales; Ajellomycetaceae.
AUGCUAGGUAAAUAGCUCAUAACUGCUCAUCAUUGUUUAGCUCACAAUCAUUCAAAUGAACUUUUCUGAUUCACUUUGUGAAUAUUGAGAAUGCUGAAUUUGUAGCACUCUUCAAAGUUGAACAUUGAUGUUGAAUCUUUUCAGCUUGCUGAUCACUCAAAUCUUUCUUAAAGUCAUGAAGCUUCUGUGAGCCAUUCUCAUCACUAAUCUUUAGAAGAAGAUCAACUGUUUCCCUGAGAAUCAAGUAGAUAUUUCAAUUGAAAGAAGAAUAUAUAUUUCCAAAAAGAUACCAAUCUAAGAUGUUUUAGAUUGUGAAAUUGCCCCGCAAUAAGUGCAUAUCAGAGGGUGGAAGUAAUCCAGCCA